RNAcentral lists this ribosomal RNA (498 nucleotides) under uncultured bacterium. RNAcentral describes it as "bacterial SSU rRNA". It matches the Rfam family "Bacterial small subunit ribosomal RNA", at positions 899 to 1397 of the family's 1533-position model. The record is from RNAcentral.
ACUCAAAGGAAUUGACGGGGGCCCGCACAAGCAGCGGAGCAUGUGGUUUAAUUCGAAGCAACGCGAAGAACCUUACCAGGUCUUGACAUCCAUCUAAAGCUGCGGAGACGCAGUGUGAGCAAGCUCGAGAUGAGACAGGUGGUGCAUGGUUGUCGUCAGCUCGUGUCGUGAGAUGUUGGGUUAAGUCCCGCAACGAGCGCAACCCUUGCCGGUAGUUACUAACGGGAAGAGCCGAGGACUUUACCGGGACCGCCGGGGACAACUCGGAGGAAGGUGGGGACGACGUCAAAUCAUCAUGCCCCUUAUGACCUGGGCUACACACGUGCUACAAUGGCCGAGACAGAGGGCGGCGAAGGCGCGAGCCGGAGCGAAUCUCAAAAAAGCGGUCACAGUUCGGAUUGCGGGCUGCAACCCGCCCGCAUGAAGCAGGAGUUGCUAGUAAUCGCGAAUCAGCAUGUCGCGGUGAAUACGUUCCCGGGCCUUGUACACACCGCCCGU